Molecule: ribosomal RNA, 253 nt
Filed under: uncultured bacterium
Lineage: Bacteria
Description: partial 16S ribosomal RNA
Rfam family: Bacterial small subunit ribosomal RNA
Source: RNAcentral
UACGGGGGGGAGCAAGCGUUGUUCGGAUUUACUGGGCGUAAAGGGCGCGUAGGCGGCGCAACAAGUCACUUGUGAAAUCUCCGGGCUUAACCCGGAGCGGCCAAGUGAUACUGUCGUGCUAGAGUGCGGAAGGGGCUACUGGAAUUCUCGGUGUAGCGGUGAAAUGCGUAGAUAUCGAGAGGAACACCAGAGGCGAAGGCGGCGACCUGGACAGGUACUGACACUCAACUACGAAAGCGUGGGGAGCAACAGG